GAUGAACGCUGGCGGUGUGCCUAAUACAUGCAAGUCGUACGCAUUCUCGUUUCUGAUUGACGGUGCUUGCACCUAAUUGACGAGACAUUGGAAUGAGUGGCGGACGGGUGAGUAACACGUGGGUAACCUGCCCAGAAGCGGGGGAUAACAUUUGGAAACAGAUGCUAAUACCGCAUAAAAGUCAAAACCACAUGGUUUUGAUUUAAAAGAUGGCCUUUGUGCUAUCACUUCUGGAUGGACCCGCGGCGUAUUAGCCAGUUGGUAAGGUAACGGCUUACCAAGGCAAUGAUACGUAGCCGAACUGAGAGGUUGAUCGGCCACAAUGGGACUGAGACACGGCCCAUACUCCUACGGGAGGCAGCAGUAGGGAAUCUUCCACAAUGGGCGCAAGCCUGAUGGAGCAACACCGCGUGAGUGAAGAAGGGUUUCGGCUCGUAAAACUCUGUUGUUAAAGAAGAACGUAUCUAAGAGUAACUGCUUAGGUAGUGACGGUAUUUAACCAGAAAGCCACGGCUAACUACGUGCCAGCCGCCGCCGUAA
RNAcentral lists this ribosomal RNA (540 nucleotides) under uncultured bacterium. RNAcentral's name for it is "partial 16S ribosomal RNA". It matches the Rfam family "Bacterial small subunit ribosomal RNA", at positions 28 to 523 of the family's 1533-position model. The record is from RNAcentral.